AUUGAACGCUGGCGGCAGGCCUAACACAUGCAAGUCGAGCGAGCGGCGGACGGGUGAGUAAUGUCUGGGAAACUGCCUGAUGGAGGGGGAUAAGUACUGGAAACGGUAGCUAAUCCCGCAUAAAAUCAGAUAUGCACAGAUGGUAUUAGCGGGUAGGUGGGGUAACUGCUCACCUAGGAGACGAUCCCUAGCUGUUCUGAGAGGAUGCCCAGCCCCACUGGAACUGAGACACGGUCCAGACUCCUACGGUAGGCAGCAUUGGGAAAUAUUGCACAAUGGGCGCAAGCCUGAUGCAGCCAUGCCGCGUGUGUGAAGAAGGCCUUCGGGUUGUAAAGCACUUUCAGCGGGGAGGCGUUACCCGCAGAAGAAGCACCGGCUAACUCCGUGCCAGCAGCCGCGGUAAUUC
RNAcentral lists this ribosomal RNA (406 nucleotides) under uncultured bacterium. RNAcentral's name for it is "partial 16S ribosomal RNA". It matches the Rfam family "Bacterial small subunit ribosomal RNA", at positions 30 to 526 of the family's 1533-position model. The record is from RNAcentral.